Molecule: long non-coding RNA, 198 nt
Organism: Hibiscus syriacus
Lineage: Eukaryota; Viridiplantae; Streptophyta; Magnoliopsida; Malvales; Malvaceae
Exons: 3
Source: RefSeq, a predicted model, not a curated record
GGACUGCUGAUGGUUCUCCUGGAGAUCGUCCUUUUAACAUAAGAGGACCUUCAGUGGUUUUUAAGGAAGGGUUUCGGAGUCGAAAUUACUGCUUGGUGGAGUGUUCAGAUAUUUGUAAUUUGAUUGGCGAUGGAGAAGAUGGAACUUGAAUUGUAAAUGACUCUCUUACAGCAACCUGAAAGGAUUUUCCAUUCAUUC